RNAcentral lists this ribosomal RNA (484 nucleotides) under uncultured bacterium. Its description in RNAcentral is "partial 16S ribosomal RNA". It matches the Rfam family "Bacterial small subunit ribosomal RNA", at positions 28 to 507 of the family's 1533-position model. The record is from RNAcentral.
AUUGAACGCUGGCGGCAUGCUUUACACAUGCAAGUCGAACGGCAGCGCGGGCUUCGGCCUGGCGGCUAGUGGCGAACGGGUGAGUAAUGCAUCGGAACGUGCCCAGUAGUGGGGGAUAGCCCGGCGAAAGCCGGAUUAAUACCGCAUACGACAUGAGGGUGAAAGCGGGGGAGCGAAAGACCUCGCGCUAUUUGAGCGGCCGAUGUCGGAUUAGCUAGUUGGUGGGGUAAAGGCUUACCAAGGCGACGAUCCGUAGCUGGUCUGAGAGGACGACCAGCCGCACGGGAACUGGGCCACGGCCCAGGCUCCUACGGGAGGCAGCAGUGGGGAAUGUUGGACAAUGGGGGCAACCCUGAUCCAGCCAUGCCGCGUGCGGGAAGAAGGCCUUCGGGUUGUAAACCGCUUUUGUUCGGGAAGAAAUCCUCUGGGCUAAUACCCCGGGGGGAUGACGGUACCGGAAGAAUAAGCACCGGCUAACUACGUG